GUUAAAAAUGUGUUUGAAGGCAGUAUGCUUGGUAAAAGUCAUCGCCAUUCUCUAAUCUCGAGUACCCAGGGACACAAUACACUGCGGAAGGCCACAGGGACCUCUGCCCAGGAAAGCCAGGCUUGCAUUAAGGAAAUGAUUUCCUAUGAUUCUGCUUACUGCUUAAAAAAAUUAAUCAAGUUUUCUGCCUGACAAGAUUCAGUAUCUGUUGGAGGAGCCCCAACUUCUGCUACUAUUAUGUUCUUCAGAUGAGUAGAAGAGAGUGGGGAGGGAGAGAGCAGGAAGAGGAAAGGAAGAAUAAUGUCUUGAAAUUGUUUUCUAAGGAUAAUGGUCUCCAGCUUCAUCCAUGUUCCUGCAAAGGACAUGAUGCUGACUUUGAAGAUGCAAGCUUCCACAUCUACAGCCUCAAGGAAACAAAUUCAGCCAACCACCUGAGGGAGCUUUCCUUGUCCUGCCUCAGGAUGAGAUUACAGUCUGUCCAACACCAUGAUUUAAGCCUUGUGACACCUGGUAUGGAAGACCCAGUUAAGUUCUUUCCAAACUCUUGACCCACAGAACCUGUGAGAAAAUACAUGGAUAUUAUUUUAAACUGCUAAAUUUGUGGUAAUUUGUUAUGCAGCAAUAAAAAAAACUAAUGCAAGGAGAUAUAAAUUGUUGUAAAAAUCUUAGCUUUUGUUUUAAAAUAUAGUUCACCAAUAGUAAGUUACUAAUAAGUAACUAAACAAAUAAAGCAAGCCAUUUACAAAUCAAUAAUAAGUGUAAGUCAUGAACUAAAGAUUGUAAUUAAUCAAUUUCUGUACGCCUGUAAUGAAAAUAAAGGAGGAAAAGAAAA
Molecule: long non-coding RNA, 832 nt
Filed under: Pongo abelii (Sumatran orangutan)
Lineage: Eukaryota; Metazoa; Chordata; Mammalia; Primates; Hominidae
Description: lincRNA
Source: RNAcentral